CACAUCUGACAGAAAAAAAGCAGGCCUUCCUGAUGCACAACAGCAUUUCAGUCCCUCCUAGAUUAAAGAAUACGUACUCUUCAACCACAUUUUCAUUAAUGAUUACCUGAGAUGUUUGUAAUACAAGGGACAGUAAGCACAGGACUAUUCAUCACUCUCCUCUCCAAAGUGGCCAUUCAAGACACCAGGAGAAACAAGCACAGUUGAACGGACCCUGUCAACUCUAUCAUCUGCUUCCAGUCCCCCACCUUCUCAUGUCAGCUGGUAGAGAUCUUGUGAGCAGUACCCACUGCUUGCCCAAGCACAUUCCAGCAGUGAUGGAUGAUAUUUUUUGAGAACUGGCCUCACAAUGUUCCAAACAAGGAGAGAAUGUGGAGAUGAGCUCUACAUUUGUCAGGGGCCUUAUGCCUCUGAUUUGGAUCAACAGUGUAGCAAAAUGUUUGUUCUCCAAAGGAAGCGGAGGUCACCUCUGCCAUAUGGGUCAUAACAACCCGAAGCAGCCCUAUAGGCUUGGGGAAGAGUGGUUGGAAAGACACCUGGCAGAAAAGGACCUGGGGGUGUCAGCUGACAGCCAGCAGCGUGCCCAAGUGGUUGAGAAGACCGAUGGAAUACUGGCCUGCAUCAGAAAUGGUGUGGCCAGAGGAAUCAGUGAAGGGAUCAUCCCUUCGUAUGUGGCACUCAAAGUGUUGCCUAGGGAGGUGGUGGAAUCACCACGCAUGGAAAUAUUUAAGAGACAUGUGAAUGUGAUGCUAAGUGAAAUGGUUCAGUAAUGGAUUUGGCAGUGUCAGGUCAAUGGUUCAACUCGAUGACCUUAAGGUAAUCACUCCAACCUAAAUGAUUCUAUAAUUCUAUGAUUCUAUAUCUUAUGAUAGCCCCAUAAUGUGGAGAUGUCAAUUAUGGCCAAAGCAGCUGUGUUGGUAAACAGCUGUGUGUAAGCAAAUCAGAGCCCCUUAUUACCAUAGUAUGCCUUAUUUUGUCAGAUAAAGGUGGGAAGCUCUAUUUGUCAGAGAGUACCUUGCCUGUUUGGAUUGCUGGUAUAUCUACUCUAUGAUUCUACGCUAUCAGUGAAAAUAUUUCAGGUCCAACAGGCUGACUCUGCAACUCUGCAACCAAAGUCUUACUGACAACUAAAUAACAUGCUGGGGAAGUUUCUUUAACUCUACUAAUUCUAUUGCAAACUUAUCUGAGUCAUUUAGAGGAUGAUGCAUGUCUGAUUAUUUUUGCUAUUCUGGUGUGAGUCUGGAUACUACCUGUACUACGUGCUUCAGUAUUUGAGAAUUAGUCUUACAAAUUUCCAUUCUCAACAGCUUUUGAUAAUUCAGAAUUGUAAAUGAACUAGAUUUUUUGAAAAACUCUUUCUGAAUGAAACAAUACAAAAAUACAAUACCUCAGAAAUGAUGAAAUGCAUCCUUUUGAGGUUAUGACAUUUGUUUCCUGUAGGCAAUGAAAUUUUAGCACUUGCAGUCCUCUGAGUGUAGUUUCUAUCCAAUGCACGUACUGCAGAGAACAGAACUAUUUCAGGUUAUUAUAUGCUAUCUCUUUUGUGCUUAGGAAAACCUUUUGGAAAGAGUAACAGUGAGGUCCGGCAGUCAUACACUUAAUCAGUCUAUACCUUAAUAUCUUAUUUCCAAUAGAGGUUAAUGUCAAUUUGAUUUACAUUACAGCAGGAAAUCCUGCAGUAGAAAAUAAUGGAGUAUACUGUCAUAUGAAAACUCUCUUAUUAUCACGUAGCUUCUUAAAAGCAGCAUAUUCCCUGAAAUACGAAGUUUAUGCGUCGUGUUAGAUAUUCUGGUUUCUACUUGUGUUACCUGAUGUUCUUGUUACCCUCACAAACUUCCUGUUUCUGGAAGGAAUGACGUCCUUUGGAAAUGAGUUGACACACUGUGCAUUUACACAGCUGAAAAAUACCUGUUUCCUUUUGCCAGUUAUAAAUGUGUUAUCUUUAGAUUAAAUGAAUGUUUACUUGUUUAUUUCUGGUGAGAAAAGGCCAUUCUAUUAUUUCAGUACCUUCUCAGUAUUUUUCUGCAUGCAUUUAUUCAAUUUCCUGUUAUUUAUUUCCAUUUUAAAGUAUAGCAUUGAUCUAUCUUCGUAAAAAUGUGUUUCCACAUCUAACAAUCUUUGCCAUCAAUUCUAGUCUUCUGGUUUUGCUAUGCCUCCCCUGGGAACACAAAAUCUCUAUAAUAAAUUGCAAUGAAAGAGUGUAAAUUAAUUUAGCAUGCAUUUCCACGCACUGAAUCUGCUUCCUGUAAAACUUUUGGUAUUUCAACUGGCUGUCAUUUUUUUUUUUAAUAAGUGGAUUUUUUCAGAAGCAUUUGCUUUUUUCGCUCGCACAUUUUCUUUGGACAAAGGGCCAGACUGAAUAAGUAAUAUGCCAAGCCACAAACAGCUUUCCUUUACAUGUCAGUAUUUUAAAUUGAAUUGGUUUUCUUUCCAAGCCUUAUUUCUACCAAUAAGAACUGAAUUUGGCUAGAAACUGAAGACUUCUUCUUGCCCCUUGUAGGGUUGGACUUCACUUCCAAAAUGAAAAGGCUUAAAAUAGACAUCUAAGAGUAUAAAAAAAUAAAGCUAGACCAUUUUAGAUGGUUUUCUGGCAUGUAUUUUACAAUUUGCUUUAAUUAGGAAUUACACUUCAGGUCCAAAAAAUUAAAAAUGCAAUCAUCGGCAAUCUGCUUUGGAACAGAAUUUGCAUGAUAAAUGUGACUAAUAUGUGUGUACAGGAGAGCACAACAUAAAUAUUUCAUUUCAAUAAGAUUGGACACUGUGAUGACUUGCAGAACUCAAGUACUGUAUUCAUCCAGAAAAAUGUAUUGUAUCGCAAUAUGUAUUCUCUCAUACAUAUUACAUAUGUUUUAGCUUAAAAUAUUGCUAGGGAACCACUAGAAAGUGUAUGGGGGAAAACAUGAAGUAAGUCUUGCCAUCCCUGAGCUGUUCCCACUGGUUGCUGAUCUUACCUCCCCUACAGUUCUGAGCACGUAGCACCGGCAAUGCUCACCUUUACGAGCUUUGCUGUGGUUAUAGCUAGAUGCCUACAGUAAACAGCUAAGAAAAGUAAGGUGAGAAUGGCAAAAAUACACACGAUUUCUCCACACUGAUUAGAAAUGGGGAAUAUCAGAUUACACAUCUGGAUGUUCGAAAUUUCGUGAGAUGAACUCCAGCCUAGGACUCUGGCACAACCACCUUCCAGAAAGCGAAAAACACUUGCUGCUAAAGUGGAACAAGAAUCCAGGAAAGGUUAUAUGGAUACUCUAGAGCCUGUGCUAUGCACUGGCAGAGAGCCGUGAAGACAGCUUUCGCCAUAAAAUGGCCAAGUAUGAGCCACUGCUGGAGGAGAAGGAUGUUUCUGAGACUCAUGAUGCAUGCCUAACAUUACUGGGAAAUGGUGAAACUUACCUUGGUGGCAAUAGUCUCCAACAGUUAUCGUGGUACGACAUGGCAGGUCACCUCCCUACUUCUUACCUUUCUCAUUUUUGCUUUCUGUCUUCUGAGAGUCUGGUUCAGUCAGCAACUCCACCCAGCCCUCCACCGGGUGAGAGCCUGGACGAAAAGAGCACAGGAGAAAUGACAUUUCCAGUGGCAUAAUAUUUUGCCAGCUGAUGAAAUAGCUGCUAAAGCCGUGUUGUCUGGCUUUUGCUUUCAAAACAGCUCUGGCCUCUAUGAGAGCCAGAGACAAAGGUUGCAUUUUCUAUUACUUCUCUCAUCUUGGUUUUUUUUUUUUUUCUUUUCUUUUCCUGUUCUAUUUGUUUCCCUUAAGGAAGAUGGGAUCAGAGCUCAGAAGCAAAAUAAUCAAAUCUUCCUCAUAAUUACAUCAAUAAAGAUGUUUGUGACAUGUUAAAUACCAUCCAAGAAGAUUCUCAAACAGGAUUUCGCAGCGCUCCCCUCCAUACAGCUUAAGAAAACAUGGCAAAGCAGCUGCUUAGAGGAAGAAACUUCCUAUUUGAGUGGCUUGGUUUGUUGUUUUUUGUUGGUUUUUUUUCAUCCUGGGCAGUUCUGUGGAUGUCAACUUUUUACUCUGGAAAAUUUGAUUAGAUGUGCGUAAUUACUUUAAAAGGAAAUAAUAAAUUUGCGAGCAUGACGUCUGUAGAACAGAUCAGCGAAAAGAUAGAGGACCAUUUUAGUGCUCAACUCUGCCUUGAUGUCUCAAAGACAAAUAGGAAAAUCUGGACUAGUGCUCUCUCAAAGCCAGCUGGGCCUAUUUUCAGUGACCCAAUUAAAGCCACAAUUUCACACCAAUGUCUAGGAGCUUAAGGGGAUCACAGAAUCAUAGAACCACAGAAUGGCUUGGGUCGGAAGGGACCUCAAGGAUCAAGCUCCAAGCCCCCUCCUGCAGGCAAGGCCACCAACCUCCAUAUCUAAUACUAGACCAGGCUGCCCAGAAAAUAAAUAAAUAAAUAAAUAAAACAGAUUUUAAUCAGAAAUUAAAAACAAAAACAAACACCUUUGAGAAAACUAAGAAAGACCCCCAGGAAGGCAUGUAGUUAGUUUUGUGUGCAUGGUUGUGUUGGGAAUGCAGAGUGGAUUUCUUCAUGAGCCCAAAACUGAGCACAGUUGUAAGUAUUUGGAGGAUUUAAGCUUAAUGGUAGAGCUGAUGUUUCAGAUAAGGAUAAGAAAAACAGCAUACGCAAGGCAAUGGAUUAAAAUAUUAGGGUCAUGUGGUGACUGAUAACUUAUGUGAUCUUUUUAAGAGUCUAAAUGGAGAACUCAGAUAAAAGGAAUUGCUUUUUUACUACUUAAGCUGGCCCAAAUAUGAGUCAAUGUAAAUUAGGAAUACUGCACUCUGCCUUCUCGGUCUUUUCGUUUAUGAAUUUGAACAAGGAGUGAGCAGAUAAAGAACUGGCCUUCUAGAGGAACUUCAUGCUAAACCUGAUCUGUCUUUAAUAACCGGGGAUGCAUUUUGUCUCCUGCCCCCUUGAGAUUUGGUUAAUAUUAACACAAGAUGGGCAAUGGAAUUCAGAGCUUUGCUUUUAAGAACUUUUCAUCUUGCAAAAUUAGGGACUGAAAAUGAGAUAAAGAUUUUGCUUAGAAAUGCACUGCACAACUUCCCAGCUUUCCCAGCCCUUCCAACAUUUGUGCACUUGCUUUACAAAUGCAAAUGUUGCUUUGCUAAGUUCAUUUUCAGUAGAGAGGGCUAAAGCAGCACCGGUGUAAGUUCUAUGACUUCAGGUUCAAGGGAAGCAAAUGUGUCUUUUGUGUGGUGAAGUAAUAAAUUAAAGUUAGCAUUACAGCAUUCCUAAGCCAUUACAGGAAUCCUUUGUCAGCACUGUAAGCUCACUUGUGCAGUGAUCAAAGAUGAUGCUUCUGAAGUUACAACACUGGUAAGGAUGCCUGUGGUGGAAGAAGCAACGUUAUUUCAAUGCUUUAUGAACUUUGGCUCUACAGGUGUGGGCACAGCACCUGGAUGAAGAGGAUGUGCAUUCCCUUAGCAUGCAGAGCAUGUGGAGCAACCGGCCCCGAGCAGCCCGUGCUCCCUGGGGCCAGCCCUGUUCCAGCCCAGCAGGUAUGAGUGCAUUGCAGCCCAAAACGCACUGCUGUUGCCCAAUUGCUGCCACUUCACCCCUCUUUGGGGCGUGGCCUAAAGCACUCACAGGCAUGGGCUGAUGGUUGGACUAGAUCAUCUUUAGUGGUCUUUGUGACUUUGAUGCUUAAUUAUAUGGUACUAUGAAAUGCUCAGGCAGCCAUAGGCAGACUUGCAGGUCUUUUCGUGAUGCAUGAGGAACCCACAAGCAUUACAAACUUCUGCUGAAGAAGCAGCAGAUAAGGAAAAAAAAAAAAAGGUAUUUCAAAGCGCUUUCAUGGUUCUUUGGACACCUGACCCUAGCCCAUAGUUCAGAAUGAUGGAAAAAUGAGUGCUCGGGCAGGGAUUUUCACAGGCAAGCAUGUCUGUGUAAAAACGAGGACUGUAGGGAACACCAACAGUGUUAGAUGCAGAGAGGGCUACUCGGGCACCAAAGCAGAGCUGCUGGGGCUGGGGCUGCUCAGCCGGACACACCGGCCUCGUGUUCUGAGGGCAGCGGCAUUCCCCGGGCAGCCGAGGCUUUCCUGGCGCGGGGCGCGGCCGCGGAGCAGCGAGAGGGG
This 6072-nucleotide long non-coding RNA is filed under the name Gallus gallus (chicken). RNAcentral describes it as "lncRNA (ENSGALG00010003859.1)". Lineage: Eukaryota; Metazoa; Chordata; Aves; Galliformes; Phasianidae. The record is from RNAcentral.